This 301-nucleotide ribosomal RNA is filed under the name uncultured bacterium. Its description in RNAcentral is "partial 16S ribosomal RNA". It matches the Rfam family "Bacterial small subunit ribosomal RNA", at positions 509 to 807 of the family's 1533-position model. The record is from RNAcentral.
CAGUCGCCGCGGGAAUACGGAGGGUGCAAGCGUUAAUCGGAAUUACUGGGCGUAAAGCGUGCGUAGGCGGUUCGUUAAGUCUGUUGUGAAAGCCCCGGGCUCAACCUGGGAAUGGCAAUGGAUACUGGCGAGCUAGAGUGUGUCAGAGGAUGGUGGAAUUCCCGGUGUAGCGGUGAAAUGCGUAGAGAUCGGGAGGAACAUCAGUAGCGAAGGCGGCCAUCUGGGACAACACUGACGCUGAGGCACGAAAGCGUGGGGAGCAAACAGGAUUAGAUACCCCAGUAGUCCCUGUCUCUUAUAC